This 468-nucleotide ribosomal RNA is filed under the name uncultured bacterium. RNAcentral describes it as "partial 16S ribosomal RNA". It matches the Rfam family "Bacterial small subunit ribosomal RNA", at positions 28 to 507 of the family's 1533-position model. The record is from RNAcentral.
GACGAACGCUGGCGGCGUGCUUAACACAUGCAAGUCGAACGGAAAGGCCCUGCUUUUGUGGGGUGCUCGAGUGGCGAACGGGUGAGUAACACGUGAGUAACCUGCCCUUGACUUUGGGAUAACUUCAGGAAACUGGGGCUAAUACCGGAUAGGAGCUCCUGCUGCAUGGUGGGGGUUGGAAAGUUUCGGCGGUUGGGGAUGGACUCGCGGCUUAUCAGCUUGUUGGUGGGGUAGUGGCUUACCAAGGCUUUGACGGGUAGCCGGCCUGAGAGGGUGACCGGCCACAUUGGGACUGAGGUACGGCCCAGACUCCUACGGGAAGCAGCAGUGGGGAAUAUUGCACAAUGGGCGGAAGCCUGAUGCAGCAACGCCGCGUGCGGGAUGACGGCCUUCGGGUUGUAAACCGCUUUCGCCUGUGACGAAGCGUGAGUGACGGUAAUGGGUAAAGAAGCACCGGCUAACUACGUG